CACUGUGCUCAACGGCUUUGCGAUAUCUUCAUUCUUGAACGGAUCGUCAACCGACUCGGACGUAUCUCCCAUUUCGACUGUACGGAAGUUUAUCAAACCGUUUGUGGAAAGUGUUUCUGGUACAAAAUCGACCGACGCGAACAUGAUCGGUACAGCUAAGGUGUUAUCGGGUGUAGAAGUGUCCAAAGAUAUUCGUGACAAAUUGAAGAAAGAUGUGAGUGAAAUUAGGAAUAAGAUUCCUACCCUGGUGCCAGGAUUGGCCAUUGCUGAAGUCGGUGGUCGGGAAGAUUCAAACGUGUACAUCCACAUGAAGAUUAAGGCCGCUGAAGAGAUUGGGAUCUAUGCUGAACACGUGCAGUUGCCCGUCAACAACGCAGGAUGAACUUCUGACAGUGCACCCUCCACACUACUGCCUCCAACGUGCCAAACACAACAUACACUGCUACAACCCUUGAGCCGUUGCCUGAUCCAGACAGUCGGGGCCGACCCCGGCGUUUGAGGAUGGCAUUGGACGACCAAAU
Molecule: RNA transcript, 521 nt
Organism: Armigeres subalbatus
Lineage: Eukaryota; Metazoa; Arthropoda; Insecta; Diptera; Culicidae
Gene name: C-1-tetrahydrofolate synthase, cytoplasmic-like
Exons: 3
Source: RefSeq, a predicted model, not a curated record